GACGAACGCUGGCGGCGUGCCUAAUACAUGCAAGUCGAACGCUGAAGAGCGGAGCUUGCUCUUCUUGGAUGAGUUGCGAACGGGUGAGUAACGCGUAGGUAACCUGCCUUGUAGCGGGGGAUAACUAUUGGAAACGAUAGCUAAUACCGCAUAACAAUGGAUGACACAUGUCAUUUAUUUGAAAGGGGCAAUUGCUCCACUACAAGAUGGACCUGCGUUGUAUUAGCUAGUAGGUGAGGUAAUGGCUCACCUAGGCGACGAUACAUAGCCGACCUGAGAGGGUGGUCGGCCACACUGGGAGUGAGACACGGCCCAGACUCCUACGGGAGGGAGCAGUAGGGAAUCUUCGGCAAUGGGGGCAACCCUGACCGAGCAACGCCGCGUGAGUGAAGAAGGGUGUCGGAUCGGAAAGCACUGUUGUAAGUCAAGAACGGGGGUGAGAGUGGAAAGUUCACACUGUGACGGUAGCUGACCAGAAAGGGACGGCUAACUACGUG
Molecule: ribosomal RNA, 497 nt
Filed under: uncultured bacterium
Lineage: Bacteria
Description: partial 16S ribosomal RNA
Rfam family: Bacterial small subunit ribosomal RNA
Source: RNAcentral